CCUGGCUCAGAUUGAACGCUGGCGGCAUGCCUAACACAUGCAAGUCGAACGGCAGCAUGACCUAGCUUGCUAGGUUGAUGGCGAGUGGCGGACGGGUGAGUAACGCGUAGGAAUAUACCUUAAAGAGGGGGAUAACUUGGGGAAACUCAAGCUAAUACCGCGUAAGUUCUGAGGAAGAAAGCUGGGGACCUUCGGGCCUGGCGCUUUAAGAUUAGCCU
RNAcentral lists this ribosomal RNA (218 nucleotides) under uncultured bacterium. RNAcentral's name for it is "partial 16S ribosomal RNA". It matches the Rfam family "Bacterial small subunit ribosomal RNA", at positions 18 to 232 of the family's 1533-position model. The record is from RNAcentral.